AUUGAACGCUGGCGGCAUGCCUUACACAUGCAAGUCGAACGAUGAGAAAGAGCUUGCUCUUUCGAUUAGUGGCGGACGGGUGCGUAACGCGUAGGAAUCUACCUAUUAGUGGGGGACAACUUAGGGAAACUUAAGCUAAUACCGCAUACGCCCUACGGGGGAAAGAAGGGGAUCGCAAGACCUUUUGCUAAUAGAUGAGCCUGCGUAGGAUUAGCUAGUUGGUGGGGUAAAAGCUCACCAAGGCGACGAUCCUUAACUGGUUUGAGAGAAUGAUCAGUCACACUGGAACUGAGACACGGUCCAGACUCCUACGGGAGGCAGCAGUGGGGAAUAUUGGACAAUGGGCGAAAGCCUGAUCCAGCAAUACCGCGUGUGUGAAGAAGGCCUUAGGGUUGUAAAGCACUUUCAAUUGGAAGGAAAACCUCGAAGCUAAUACCUUCGAGUUUGACAUUACCUUUAGAAGAAGCACCGGCUAACUCCGUGCCAGCAGCCGCAGUAA
Molecule: ribosomal RNA, 499 nt
Filed under: uncultured bacterium
Lineage: Bacteria
Description: partial 16S ribosomal RNA
Rfam family: Bacterial small subunit ribosomal RNA
Source: RNAcentral